This 492-nucleotide ribosomal RNA is filed under the name uncultured bacterium. RNAcentral's name for it is "partial 16S ribosomal RNA". It matches the Rfam family "Bacterial small subunit ribosomal RNA", at positions 29 to 507 of the family's 1533-position model. The record is from RNAcentral.
AGUGAACGCUGGCGGUAGGCCUAACACAUGCAAGUCGAACGGCAGCACAGUAAGAGCUUGCUCUUACGGGUGGCGAGUGGCGGACGGGUGAGGAAUACAUCGGAAUCUACUUUUUCGUGGGGGAUAACGUAGGGAAACUUACGCUAAUACCGCAUACGACCUACGGGUGAAAGCAGGGGAUCUUCGUACCUUGCGCGAUUGAAUGAGCCGAUGUCGGAUUAGCUAGUUGGCGGGGUAAAGGCCCACCAAGGCGACGAUCCGUAGCUGGUCUGAGAGGAUGAUCAGCCACACUGGAACUGAGACACGGUCCAGACUCCUACGGGAGGCAGCAGUGGGGAAUAUUGGACAAUGGGCGCAAGCCUGAUCCAGCCAUACCGCGUGGGUGAAGAAGGCCUUCGGGUUGUAAAGCCCUUUUGUUGGGAAAGAAAAGCAGCAGGUUAAUACCCCGCUGUUCUGACGGUACCCAAAGAGUAAGCACCGGCUAACUUCGUG